This 781-nucleotide ribosomal RNA is filed under the name Alkalibacter sp. enrichment culture. Its description in RNAcentral is "bacterial SSU rRNA". It matches the Rfam family "Bacterial small subunit ribosomal RNA", at positions 8 to 795 of the family's 1533-position model. Lineage: Bacteria; Bacillati; Bacillota; Clostridia; Eubacteriales; Eubacteriaceae. The record is from RNAcentral.
AGAGUUUGAUUCUGGCUCAGGACGAACGCUGGCGGCGUGCCUAACACAUGCAAGUCGAACGUGAUCUUCGGAGUAGUUUACUACACCGGAGUGAAAGUGGCGGACGGGUGAGUAACGCGUGGGUAACCUGGCCUAUGGAAGGGGAUAGCCUCGGGAAACCGGGAUUAAUACCGUAUGUAGUUGAGAUAUCGCAUGAUAUUUCAAUGAAAGAUUUAUCGCCAUAGGAUGGACCCGCGUCCCAUUAGCUAGUUGGUGAGAUAACAGCUCACCAAGGCGACGAUGGGUAGCCGGCCUGAGAGGGCGGACGGCCACACUGGGACUGAGACACGGCCCAGACUCCUACGGGAGGCAGCAGUGGGGAAUAUUGCGCAAUGGGGGCAACCCUGACGCAGCAACGCCGCGUGAAUGAAGAAGGUCUUCGGAUCGUAAAGUUCUGUCGAAGGGGAAGAAAUAAAUGACGGUACCCUUAGAGGAAGCCCCGGCUAACUACGUGCCAGCAGCCGCGGUAAUACGUAGGGGGCAAGCGUUGUCCGGAUUUACUGGGCGUAAAGGGCGUGUAGGCGGUUUUUUAAGUCAGAUGUGAAAGUUCGGGGCUCAACCCCGGAAUUGCAUUUGAAACUGGAGAACUUGAGUACUGGAGAGGUAAGUGGAAUUCCUAGUGUAGCGGUGAAAUGCGUAGAUAUUAGGAGGAACACCAGUGGCGAAAGCGACUUACUGGACAGAUACUGACGCUGAGGCGCGAAAGCGUGGGGAGCGAACAGGAUUAGAUACCCUGGUAGUC